This is a long non-coding RNA of Fukomys damarensis (Damara mole-rat), 767 nucleotides long. RefSeq lists it as uncharacterized. The transcript is spliced from 3 exons. The record is from RefSeq and is a predicted model, not a curated record. NCBI's taxonomy places the organism in Eukaryota, Metazoa, Chordata, Mammalia, Rodentia, Bathyergidae.
ACCCAGGGCCUUUGUACUAAGCUACAUCAUCUGCCCCCCUCCCCAUUACAAACUUUUUUUCCAGGGGGACAGAGUUUGCUAAGUUGCUGAGUUACCCAGGCCGGGCUUGAACUUGAAUUCCUUUUGCCUCAACCUCCAAGUGAGAGCCUGGAGUCCUUAAGUGCUUAGCUUCCUGGUAUCCUGUGUCACACCUAACCCAGAAUCUUGUCUUGAUCGCAUUUCCCUGGGCAGAACUUUCAAGACUUUGUUACCUCCCAAAGGCCAGACUUCUCAAUCCUAUCAUAUUGGCAACACCUGGAUUUUGGAGCAAAUACAUUCAAACCAAGAUCACCUAGAACUAAAGAAUGCAGUCUUCAGUAGCCAGAUUCUCCAGCUGCUCAUACAGGCCUAGGUGUUGGACCUGCUCUGCAGUCACGUAGCUCACAUGACAAACUAUUUUACCUCACUGGACAUCAGUUUCCUGCCCUGUGAAGUGAACUGAGGUUGUAAUCUAUCAGUGUUUGCUCAAAGGGUUCUUAUCAUCAAUCAUGGCUCUUGUGAUGCAAAAAGAUUAUGCAGGGAAAAAGUGGCUCUGGCUCUCAGUGCCAUGAGCAGGUCUUAGACACUAGGGGCAUAGGAACACAUUUAAAGCUUUGAGUACUCCUGCAGAGAAUAAAUAAAAAACAUCCUAGCAAUGGCAGGUAGGACUCUUGACCUGGUUUGAGGGUUAAAUAUGCUCUAUGAUCCCUUCCAGCUUUAAACAUUAAAAGAAAUGAUUGGAAUAUUAU